Long non-coding RNA from Gasterosteus aculeatus aculeatus (three-spined stickleback), 1164 nucleotides. NCBI's taxonomy places the organism in Eukaryota, Metazoa, Chordata, Actinopteri, Perciformes, Gasterosteidae. The record is from Ensembl.
UAGGGUCGUUCAUUACAACUAUGGCCGACACUGAGCUGCAUCGUGUCCGUGUCGUUUGUCAUAUUUCCUCUUUUACAGGGGCGUAACAUUUGGAGGCACCGCUGGGAUCGUGUGCAGCGUGGUUUAGCGUCUUCAACAGAUGUCCCCCGCCGUCACACAUCCCCUUUAAACAACCCGGAACAUCAGAAGCAGGUGGCGAAUCAGCGAUAGUGGGAGUCCGAUUGUCUGGGGCAGCUUGCAUGUGAUCUGAGGUAUUUCUGCAUACCAGGAGAGCUGCUAUUACUACCCGAAGAUUAAAAGGUACCACUUCACUGCUAGCACCUACAUCUGGCUGGGAAGAUGGAGUCGACCGGAUUAGAGGAGUUACAGCUUGAAGUAAUAAGGGCAUUGUGUCUGUUGCCCCGAGAGAGUUUGGUGGAGCUGUGUGACUAUCUAAUCAUUGCCGGAGCAGAGUUUGAGCAUGUUACCAACAAGGGCCGAACUGCUCUCAUCACACUAAUUUCAAACCACAUACAGAGAGUAGAGCUAGAAGAGCUCGAGGAUGAAGGUAUGGCUGGCUUACUCCAUCUUCAAGACAAAAUUUCUGAGCUCCAGAUAGCUGGUAAAGCUGGCCCAUCAAAACCAGUAGGUGAGCAACAGGAUGGAGAGGAGAAAAGAAUAUUGGAGGAAAUUGAGGCCUUGCAGCUUCAGUUAGCAAGCACACAGAAACAGAGUGAGGAAAACAAGCCAGAAAUGAAAGGAAUUAAAAGCAUUACCCCCACCAGACAAUCACCACAGAGUGUAGUCCACAGUCCUGCACCUCACCCAUGGCAAAAGGAUUUUAAGAUUGCUGGCCAAAUCGGUGAGCCCGGUCAGAGAGACAAGCUGACUUUUUCGAGCCUAGCACGUCAAAUUGAACAUGGCUUAAGCAAGGGGUUUCUGGAACUCGAGAUAGCAGAUGCAGUGAUAAGAGCGAUAUCUCCAGGCAUGCAACUCCGCAGCUAUUUAGAGGGCAAAACCAACCUAACCUUACCCAUGCUGAGGCGAAUACUCCGAAGUCAUUAUCAAGAGAAAAGUGCAACCGACCUUUAUAAGCAGCUGACCUCAGAGGUGCAGGGCAUCAAAGAAACCCCACAGAACUUCCUAAUUCGCACUUUCGACCUGAGACAAAAAAUUUUGUUCGCU